This is a long non-coding RNA of Nicotiana attenuata, 1871 nucleotides long. RefSeq lists it as uncharacterized. The record is from RefSeq and is a predicted model, not a curated record. Lineage: Eukaryota; Viridiplantae; Streptophyta; Magnoliopsida; Solanales; Solanaceae. The transcript has 3 exons.
UUUAGUAGAAAUGACACCAAGUAGUCACUUUGAAGGAUUGCUAUUUAGAAAUUAGUUAGUGUAUUCUAAAUUUCAGUUUUUUAGGGUUGAAGUAGCUAUACUAGUUUAUAUUUAUCAAUGUAUCCAAGAAAGAGACUCUCUUUCUUUUUCAUUCUCUCUUACUCUGUCCCUAAUUUUUCUCUUUUGUUCAUCUGCAAUCUUAAGUUGUUCUUCUCGGUUGACUUUCUUCACUAUGGCUCGGCACCCAAUCUAGGAGAUGGCAUUGGAGAUGGCGUUGGAGAUGGCAUUGGAUGGCAUUGGAGAUGGCGUUCCGUCACCAACUGGGCCUAGAAGAUCCUUUGACGGAAGUAACUAUGAAAAUGGAGCAAACAGCAAUUAAUAAUCAUUGUUAGGAUGAACUAUAUUUUUGUGUUGUAACUAUUGAGUAACUCUCUUAACUCUCUGCACCUUAAACUUGAAUCUUGGAUGAUGUGGAGUUUGGGUAUGUUUUAAUAUGAUGAAUAUUUUGUUUUAAUAUGAUGAUGUGGUUCUUUAAGCUUAGAAUUUUUUACUUUUUGAACUUUGAAGCAAUCUGAGAUUCAAAAUGCACUUCAAUUUCAGUUACAUAUUUGACAAUUAUUUGAUCUUCUACAGUUACAUAUAACCCAUAUGAACAUUAGUCGCAGUCUCUCCUUCUAAAACCUUGGGUGAUGCUACAGUAUUCCAUUUAUUAAAAAUAUUACAAUUAUGGCAGUAUAAAAUGGCUAUAGUUUGAAAGGGACAGAACAUCAAUUACGGCGGUUGAAAACCGCCACAAUAAGCAAAGUGAACAGCCGUCCUUAAACCUGCAUAUUGCGGCGCUUUUACCUGCAUAUUGCGGCGGUUAGUUGAAAACCGCCGUAUUACAUCUUUUGGCGGAAGCGAUUAUGGCUUGUGGAGGACGCCAUUAAUAACAAUUGCGGCGGUUGGGAACUGCCGCUAUAAGCAAAUAUGACCGCCGCUAUUUCUCCGGUUUUUUGUAGUGGUAACUAGAAUCUUGUUUCUUUUCUGGUGUUGAUUUGAUUAUUUAGAUCAGAGGAACUCUUCUUACUGAUUUGAAAAAAGAUUGCACAAUUAUUUAAAAUUAGAAUUUUAUUUCUUCUCACUCUCUGUUUGUUGUUUCUUGAACAUUAUAUUGUGACUUGUGAGGACUAUGAAAUCAUUUUUUAAUCUUACUGCAUGUGAUUGUUUGCCUUUUACGCUCAUCUGUUGUUUGAAAAUGCUAAGAGUUUAGAGUUAAUUAGAAGUUCCAUGUGUUUCUUUUUUUACAAUUUUUGCAUACCUUUUCUCUUUUGGUUACCUAAUUUUGUACAUGCAUGUUGUGAUUUAUGGCCUUUCUUCAUGGAUCCUGAGAAUACUGAGAAAUUAUGGAUUGACUUUUGCAUGUUGUUGUCUCAGUUUGUACAUGCCUACUGAAAUGUAAAUAUGUUUUAUAUCUAUGGUGAAGUUCAUAACUAUUCCUUCUUCAGGAAAAUCAUCAGUGUUAACCUAUCUGUCUUCUUUGGACUCAGUUUACUAUAGAAGAGGGGAGCAAACUUCUGUGAUGAUUAAGGCAUAGCAGGUCCCGCUCCCGAGUGCUGACUCAUCCCAGCUCCAGGCGGAUCUUCGAGGAGACUUUAGGUAGCUGCUGGCGUUCGCAGCCUGGAGCUCCUCUCUAUAUAUAUCUUUACUUUCUAUUCUAGUAUUGAGACUCUGUAGUUACAUUUGAGAGUUUAUUUUCUUAGACGCUCGUGACUUGUGACACCCCGGUUAGGGCUGUGUCGGGAUGGUUUUUCCGCCAUUAUUAUCUUAAAUUCCGCGAACUAUUGCUAUUAAAUCAUGUUUUAAACUGUUUUAUAAUAAUGAACUGCUUU